CCAUUCAACACAACUUUAUUGUUUUCAUAGAACUACAAUUCACUUUAACUGUUGCAUCGCAUAGGAUGUUGCUGUACUGUAAUGCUUGUACAGGAACGUGCAUUAGUUCUAGUAUUACAGAUAAACACUUCACCAAUCUAGGCAGUAUCAACAGAUUGAUUUGGUUCAGAUGAUUUUCUUCUAUGCACUGAGAUAACAUCACGAUGUGUUUACUUGGAUAUUUUAUGUGGUUAGCACAAGUUCAAGUAUACCAAGGUAGACAGCACAAGUUACAGUGAUACCUAUGCAAAUCAUAAUCAUCAACUGAGAUGCUAUUUUAAUUAUAAUUAUUUUCUAGAUUAAAAAAAUACGGGAAAAUAUUUAAAUUUUAAACGAAGGCAUAUUACUGAGGCAGAAUUCAGUUCACUACAGAAGCCAGUACUACAACUAGUACAAUCAAGAGAAAAGGGGGCGGGGGUAGAGUGCACAUUCGAUGAUGAAUGGCGAUUGCAACUUACUGCAGGCACAGCAAAAUGAAAAAGCUGUUUGUUGUAUACAAAAGUGUUCAAUACUGUAGACAAUAUUUAAGACAACAGCUAGUAUUUGUCAUUUUCAGCAACGAUCUAGUUAGUUCGAUAAGUAUUCUAACAGUCAAAAAAACCCACAAAACGGUCACAUGAAAUGAGUAAUUUCCAUAAAAAAAAAAAGUUUAACAGCAUUGCUGAGCUUGUAAAUUUGGCCAACUCUACAAUACUUGAAUUCUUGAACACACACAUACAAAGAAUCUUAGGCGGAGAGAUGAUGAAAUUAUCAUUUUAGUUAUGGUAAUUUCGUUAGAAAAUUAUAAGACUUGAAGACAUUUACAAAAAUCGAACUUUUCAAUUAACCCUCUAAACAAUGUUGUUCACAGAAUACAAGAAAUUUCUAAUACUAAUAAAGAUUAAUUGACUCACAAAUUGAAAAGUUGCAAGUAUUUACUUUUAGAUGAGUCACAUAAGACAGUUCCCAUUGAAAAUUUUGGUACAUUCUGUCUCAAAGAACAUCCAAAUUUAUGAAGAAAUGUCAAUUCAUUGCCUAAAAACUCAAACUCAUGACAGGUGUUUUUGACAUUUUCUCAUCUGUUGGAAGAAUUUCAGCUAGACAUAGAAAAAUUAGUUUCUAUGAUGAGACUCCAACUAUGUUGUCAAAAGACCAAAAGUACUGGAAUUUUAAAGCAAGAGAAUGAUGUUUCCCUCACUCUUUUGUUUCACUGUCUGGUAACUAUUGAAAAUAUUUGUGUUCGGUUUUCUAAAGCAGACUCUAGAAAGAGUCAUGAAUACAGAUGUUAAAAUUCUUCAGUAUGUAUGUGCAAAUGCUAUAAAAUAUUCACUGCCAGGUUAGGGAACUGGUGAAGAAAAUAUUUUUUAGUGAUCUUGUGUUUUUACUAAUGUUCCUUGGUUGAGUUAUAAAAGAAUUUUUACAAAGAUUCCCUGUACUAGAAAUUCCAAUUCAAAAAAAAAAAAUUCCAAUUCAAGGUUUUCUUAAAACAAAGGAAUGCCUGCCAUAUAUUCAAAAACCAAAGACAAAAAGUGGCAGAGCAAGAAUUCUCCUUAACAUAACACUGCAUAUGAAUAUGCUAAUUUUGAAGCUCCUUAGAACAGGAAAAACUUGUACCUACUUAGGUGAAAUACUUUAGUUAAAACAAAUAUUUCAUGAUACAAAUAAAAAAUGACAAUUGUACAUAUUUUUCUAACAUUGGGUCAAUAUACAAAUUUUAAAUGUAAUCAGCAGCAUCUUACAUAAGUUAGCUACAAAAAAUAAAACAAGACAAAUGAAAGUACUGGUUUGUUGAUAUGGAUAAAUUUAGUUUUGUUUCCAUUUUAUGCACUACUUUAUGCCAAAUUUGCUGUUAAUAAUACUGAGAUGAUAUAAGAGUUAGUGAAUUUACUUGAACAAACAGUUUUCUAAAUGAUAUGCUUUUGCUUCAAAAUCAAUUCCUCUAAUAAGAAAGAUGAACUGUUUUGUCAAUGUGGAUGCAAGUAUCAGAGUAAAGUAAUUCCUUUGAAUUACUUUGGUAAUUUGGUCCAGUUACUGGAAAACUUUAAGCAUAUUUAGAAUAACAAGAUAUGUUUGGAAGAACCAUGUGAACCUACUUUUAAACACUAAGUUUUAUAAAUCUAAAUAUGGAUCAAGUAAUUCAGUGUAUGAACUGCUACAACUUUUAUAAAACACACUGGGUUUUGAAGACAAUGCAAAACAUAACAUAAAAUGCCUCAUGAAAUAAUAAUGAUAAUUAUUUCACAAUAAUUUUUACACUGGUUAAAAUAUGUUGAAAUAAUAUUUUGUCUCUCUUGGGUAAAAUAAAAUGUAUUGUUAACUUCAUCUGCUUUGCUUUUUAAAAGUAGCUACUAGAAAAUCUGAAAUUACGUAUGUGGCUCACAGUAUGCUCCUUGGAUAGUGCUGCAGUAAUGAAAACACCUGAACACCUUCCAGUCAGCUUUUUAGAGCCGUCUUCUUAAAACAGAGGUCUCUCAGGUAGCGUCCCUCACAGGUAGCGUCCCUCUCAGGUAGCGCGUACACAUAUGCUCGCACACGCGCUCACAGGUAGCGUCUCAGGUAGCGUCCCUCUCAGGUAGCGUGUGCACACACGCACCCACGCAUGCGCGCUCACAGGUCGUGUCUCAGCGUCCCUCUCAGGUACCGCGUACACAUAUGCUCGCGCACGCGCUCACAGGUAGCGUCCCUCUCUGGCAGCACAUGCACACACGCACGCGUGCUCACAGGCAGCGUCCCUCUCAGGUAGCGCGUGCACACACAACCUCCAGCGGCUCUCCGCCGCCCGGGGAAUCACACACACACACUCGUCAGAAGGGCCGGCCCGGGGGACCCGACCAGCGGCGGGAAGGCGGGCAGCGGACCCCUACCCCCAGGCUUCAGGCUGUGCCCGGGCGCUCCACGAGGGGAGAGGUUUCCCCUCCCGGCAGCACCGACCAGGCCCGGGCCGGGGGGUGGGGGGGGGACUAGCUGCCACCCCCCCGGGACUCGCAGCCCGCCCGCGCUCCACACGCCGGCCUCACGCCCAGCCUGCGCGUCUACAGCGUGGCCCGCCGUCCUGCACCACCAAGCGUUAACGCGGCGGGGGGAGCAUUUGCAAAAACGGAGCGAGGCAGAUCUGGCGUCAUUGUGCUUCAGCUACUGUGCGUGUGGUGUUUUGUUUUUUUUUUUUUCAAACGCACAAGUUGAAGGUUUGUGGCAACCUUGUGUUGGGCAAGUCCGUUGGCAUCAUUUUCCCCAACAGCAUCUGCUCCCUUUAUGGGUCACGUUUUGGGAAUUCUCACAGUAUUUUAAGCUUUUCAGCCACCACGCCACCUGCCACGGUGUCCUGUGAUCUGGGAGCCUUGACGCUACGACUAGCGCUUUGGGGCACCACCAAGAACACUCGUGGAAG
Molecule: long non-coding RNA, 3406 nt
Filed under: Canis lupus familiaris (dog)
Lineage: Eukaryota; Metazoa; Chordata; Mammalia; Carnivora; Canidae
Description: lncRNA (ENSCAFG00000055787.1)
Source: RNAcentral